This 496-nucleotide ribosomal RNA is filed under the name uncultured bacterium. RNAcentral describes it as "partial 16S ribosomal RNA". It matches the Rfam family "Bacterial small subunit ribosomal RNA", at positions 29 to 507 of the family's 1533-position model. The record is from RNAcentral.
ACGAACGCUGGCGGCGUGCCUAAUACAUGCAAGUAGAACGCUGAAGAGAGGAGCUUGCUCUUCUUGGAUGAGUUGCGAACGGGUGAGUAACGCGUAGGUAACCUGCCUUGUAGCGGGGGAUAACUAUUGGAAACGAUAGCUAAUACCGCAUAACAAUGGAUGACACAUGUCAUUUAUUUGAAAGGGGCAAUUGUUCCACUACAAGAUGGACCUGCGUUGUAUUAGCUAGUAGGUGAGGUAAUGGCUCACCUAGGCGACGAUACAUAGCCGACCUGAGAGGGUGAUCGGCCACACUGGGACUGAGACACGGCCCAGACUCCUACGGGAGGCAGCAGUAGGGAAUCUUCGGCAAUGGGGGCAACCCUGACCGAGCAACGCCGCGUGAGUGAAGAAGGUUUUCGGAUCGUAAAGCUCUGUUGUAAGUCAAGAACGGGUGCGAGAGUGGAAAGUUCACACUGUGACGGUAGCUUACCAGAAAGGGACGGCUAACUACGUG